RNAcentral lists this ribosomal RNA (1549 nucleotides) under Klebsiella pneumoniae. RNAcentral's name for it is "bacterial SSU rRNA". It matches the Rfam family "Bacterial small subunit ribosomal RNA". The record is from RNAcentral. Lineage: Bacteria; Pseudomonadati; Pseudomonadota; Gammaproteobacteria; Enterobacterales; Enterobacteriaceae.
AAAUUGAAGAGUUUGAUCAUGGCUCAGAUUGAACGCUGGCGGCAGGCCUAACACAUGCAAGUCGAGCGGUAGCACAGAGAGCUUGCUCUCGGGUGACGAGCGGCGGACGGGUGAGUAAUGUCUGGGAAACUGCCUGAUGGAGGGGGAUAACUACUGGAAACGGUAGCUAAUACCGCAUAAUGUCGCAAGACCAAAGUGGGGGACCUUCGGGCCUCAUGCCAUCAGAUGUGCCCAGAUGGGAUUAGCUAGUAGGUGGGGUAACGGCUCACCUAGGCGACGAUCCCUAGCUGGUCUGAGAGGAUGACCAGCCACACUGGAACUGAGACACGGUCCAGACUCCUACGGGAGGCAGCAGUGGGGAAUAUUGCACAAUGGGCGCAAGCCUGAUGCAGCCAUGCCGCGUGUGUGAAGAAGGCCUUCGGGUUGUAAAGCACUUUCAGCGGGGAGGAAGGCGUUAAGGUUAAUAACCUUGGCGAUUGACGUUACCCGCAGAAGAAGCACCGGCUAACUCCGUGCCAGCAGCCGCGGUAAUACGGAGGGUGCAAGCGUUAAUCGGAAUUACUGGGCGUAAAGCGCACGCAGGCGGUCUGUCAAGUCGGAUGUGAAAUCCCCGGGCUCAACCUGGGAACUGCAUUCGAAACUGGCAGGCUAGAGUCUUGUAGAGGGGGGUAGAAUUCCAGGUGUAGCGGUGAAAUGCGUAGAGAUCUGGAGGAAUACCGGUGGCGAAGGCGGCCCCCUGGACAAAGACUGACGCUCAGGUGCGAAAGCGUGGGGAGCAAACAGGAUUAGAUACCCUGGUAGUCCACGCCGUAAACGAUGUCGAUUUGGAGGUUGUGCCCUUGAGGCGUGGCUUCCGGAGCUAACGCGUUAAAUCGACCGCCUGGGGAGUACGGCCGCAAGGUUAAAACUCAAAUGAAUUGACGGGGGCCCGCACAAGCGGUGGAGCAUGUGGUUUAAUUCGAUGCAACGCGAAGAACCUUACCUGGUCUUGACAUCCACAGAACUUUCCAGAGAUGGAUUGGUGCCUUCGGGAACUGUGAGACAGGUGCUGCAUGGCUGUCGUCAGCUCGUGUUGUGAAAUGUUGGGUUAAGUCCCGCAACGAGCGCAACCCUUAUCCUUUGUUGCCAGCGGUUAGGCCGGGAACUCAAAGGAGACUGCCAGUGAUAAACUGGAGGAAGGUGGGGAUGACGUCAAGUCAUCAUGGCCCUUACGACGGGGCUACACACGUGCUACAAUGGCAUAUACAAAGAGAAGCGACCUCGCGAGAGCAAGCGGACCUCAUAAAGUAUGUCGUAGUCCGGAUUGGAGUCUGCAACUCGACUCCAUGAAGUCGGAAUCGCUAGUAAUCGUAGAUCAGAAUGCUACGGUGAAUACGUUCCCGGGCCUUGUACACACCGCCCGUCACACCAUGGGAGUGGGUUGCAAAAGAAGUAGGUAGCUUAACCUUCGGGAGGGCGCUUACCACUUUGUGAUUCAUGACUGGGGUGAAGUCGUAACAAGGUAACCGUAGGGGAACCUGCGGUUGGAUCACCUCCUUACCUUAAAGAA